AUCGCUUCUCGGCCUUUUGGCUAAGAUCAAGUGUAGCAAUAUAUUUACUCAGAUAUUUAUUAAAUAAUACUCAGAACCCUCCAAAGGCACUACACAAAAGUUGUUCAAUUAAACAAUUUUUUUAGGGCGACUUUAACUUUC
Molecule: small nuclear RNA, 141 nt
Organism: Heterocephalus glaber (naked mole-rat)
Lineage: Eukaryota; Metazoa; Chordata; Mammalia; Rodentia; Bathyergidae
Gene: U2
Rfam family: U2 spliceosomal RNA
About the family: U2 is a small nuclear RNA (snRNA) component of the spliceosome (involved in pre-mRNA splicing).
Source: Ensembl